This 206-nucleotide long non-coding RNA is filed under the name Glycine max (soybean). RNAcentral describes it as "long non-coding RNA (GMAX_LNC003320)". Lineage: Eukaryota; Viridiplantae; Streptophyta; Magnoliopsida; Fabales; Fabaceae. The record is from RNAcentral.
AUACUUCGGCUAACGUUGCUUUGCCGAUACUUAUGCUCAAGUUGACUCCAAAAUCAAUAAUAGAAAACGAGUGAUCACUUUAAAUGGAAUUCUAUGCUUCUAUCUGUUUUCAAUUUGUUGUGGUUACGUAUUGACUCAAUGACUGAAAUUAAAUUUGUUUUAUUAGUUUUUUGUUCCUUUGCUUUGGAAUUAAAGACUCACUUGUA